Molecule: ribosomal RNA, 489 nt
Filed under: uncultured bacterium
Lineage: Bacteria
Description: partial 16S ribosomal RNA
Rfam family: Bacterial small subunit ribosomal RNA
Source: RNAcentral
AUGAACGCUAGCGAUAGGCUUAACACAUGCAAGUCGAGGGGCAGCAUGGUCUUAGCUUGCUAAGACUGAUGGCGACCGGCGCACGGGUGCGUAACGCGUAUGCAACUUGCCUCACAGAGGGGGAUAACCCGUCUAAAGACGGACUAAUACCGCGUACACUUGGGAUAGGGCAUCCUGACCCAAGGAAAUGAAAUUCGCUGUGAGAUAGGCAUGCGUCCCAUUAGCUAGUUGGUGAGGUAACGGCUCACCAAGGCGACGAUGGGUAGGGGAACUGAGAGGUUGAACCCCCACACUGGUACUGAGACACGGACCAGACUCCUACGGGAGGCAGCAGUGAGGAAUAUUGGUCAAUGGGCGAGAGCCUGAACCAGCCAAGUCGCGUGAAGGAUGACUGUCUUAUGGAUUGUAAACUUCUUUUAUACGGGAAUAACAAGAGCCACGUGUGGCUCCCUGCAUGUACCGUAUGAAUAAGCAUCGGCUAACUCCGUG